GAGAGAGAGAGAGAAGGAAAACCUAGGUUGUGUGAUUUUCAACCGAUUGGAGCGAUUCAAAAGCCUAAAUCACUUAGAAUCUUCCCCUCUUUCAUAAUCCUAGCUUUGUUUUGAGUGGGGAGCAUUGUGAAGAGAGAUAUUACCCCUCAAAAAUUCGACCAUUUGAGUGAUUUUGGGGUUUUGGGAAGUUCAACCUCCAUGGGAGCUUGAGGAACACUCCUUGCUUGGUUGUGUGACCAUUGGUGGAUUGAGACAUUUGGACCAACCGUGAGUGAUCAACCAUUGGAGCAAGCUAUGGAGCUUGAUUAGCUCCAUUGGAUAGGUUUUGUUUGAGAAGUGAAGUAUUGUAAUUGACUGACUGUGGAACCUGUUGGUGGUGAACAAAGGUUGACUGAAGCAUUGAGGUAAGGAUGCUGCAGGAGCCUCAGGUGGCAAGUGGCCAUAUCUGGAUUAUGCAUGAAAUAUGGCACUUCUUUGAGUUUAUGCAUGCCUUUUGUAGUUGACAUGUAUAGGAUUUUAUUUUGAAAGCCCAUGAUC
This is a long non-coding RNA of Gastrolobium bilobum, 537 nucleotides long. RefSeq lists it as uncharacterized. The transcript is spliced from 4 exons. Lineage: Eukaryota; Viridiplantae; Streptophyta; Magnoliopsida; Fabales; Fabaceae. The record is from RefSeq and is a predicted model, not a curated record.